This 279-nucleotide ribosomal RNA is filed under the name uncultured bacterium. RNAcentral's name for it is "partial 16S ribosomal RNA". It matches the Rfam family "Bacterial small subunit ribosomal RNA", at positions 506 to 784 of the family's 1533-position model. The record is from RNAcentral.
UGCCAGCAGCCGCGGUAAUACUGAAGGUGCAAGCGUUAAUCGGAAUCACUGGGCGUAAAGCGCGUGUAGGCGGGUUAAUAAGUUUAAAGUGAAAUCCAAUGGCUCAACCAUUGAACUGCAUUUGAUACUGCAUCGCUAGAGUAUAGGAGAGGGAAGUGGAAUUUCUGGUGUAGGAGUGAAAUCCGUAGAGAUCAGAAGGAACACCGGUGGCGAAGGCGACUUCCUGGACUAUUACUGACACUGAGGAGCGAAAGCGUGGGGAGCAAACAGGAUUAGAUA